Molecule: non-coding RNA, 30 nt
Filed under: Rattus norvegicus (Norway rat)
Lineage: Eukaryota; Metazoa; Chordata; Mammalia; Rodentia; Muridae
Source: RNAcentral
UCAGAGGACUACAUCGUGUGAGUUAGAUAU